CUCCUGCGGGAGGCAGCAGUGGGGAAUAUUGCACAAUGGGCGCAAGCCUGAUGCAGCCAUGCCGCGUGUAUGAAGAAGGCCUUCGGGUUGUAAAGUACUUUCAGCGGGGAGGAAGGCGAUAAGGUUAAUAACCUUGUUGAUUGACGUUACCCGCAGAAGAAGCACCGGCUAACUCCGUGCCAGCAGCCGCGGUAAUACGGAGGGUGCAAGCGUUAAUCGGAAUUACUGGGCGUAAAGCGCACGCAGGCGGUCUGUCAAGUCGGAUGUGAAAUCCCCGGGCUCAACCUGGGAACUGCAUUCGAAACUGGCAGGCUAGAGUCUUGUAGAGGGGGGUAGAAUUCCAGGUGUAGCGGUGAAAUGCGUAGAGAUCUGGAGGAAUACCGGUGGCGAAGGCGGCCCCCUGGACAAAGACUGACGCUCAGGUGCGAAAGCGUGGGGAGCAAACAGGAUUAGAAACCCCUGUAGUCCC
RNAcentral lists this ribosomal RNA (469 nucleotides) under uncultured organism. RNAcentral's name for it is "partial 16S ribosomal RNA". It matches the Rfam family "Bacterial small subunit ribosomal RNA", at positions 336 to 797 of the family's 1533-position model. The record is from RNAcentral.